RNAcentral lists this ribosomal RNA (504 nucleotides) under uncultured bacterium. Its description in RNAcentral is "partial 16S ribosomal RNA". It matches the Rfam family "Bacterial small subunit ribosomal RNA", at positions 29 to 523 of the family's 1533-position model. The record is from RNAcentral.
AUUGAACGCUGGCGGCAGGCCUAACACAUGCAAGUCGAACGGUAGCACAGAGAGCUUGCUCUCGGGUGACGAGUGGCGGACGGGUGAGUAACGUCUGGGAAACUGCCCGAUGGAGGGGGAUAACUACUGGAAACGGUAGCUAAUACCGCAUAACGUCGCAAGACCAAAGUGGGGGACCUUCGGGCCUCACACCAUCGGAUGUGCCAAGAUGGGAUUAGCUAGUAGGUGGGGUAAUGGCUCACCUAGGCGACGAUCCCUAGCUGGUCUGAGAGGAGGACCAGCCACACUGGAACUGAGACACGGUCCAGACUCCUACGGGAGGCAGCAGUGGGGAAUAUUGCACAAUGGGCGCAAGCCUGAUGCAGCCAUGCCGCGUGUAUGAAGAAGGCCUUCGGGUUGUAAAGUACUUUCAGCGGGGAGGAAGGCGGUGAAGUUAAUAGCUUCACCGAUUGACGUUACCCGCAGAAGAAGCACCGGCUAACUCCGUGCCAGCAGCCGCAGUAA